GCGCAGCAGGCGAGAAUUUUUCUCAAUGGGGGAAACCCUGAAGGAGCGACGCCGCGUGGAGGAUGAAGGCUUUCGGGUUGUAAACUCCUGUCAUUUGAGAACAAGUGUAGCCAAAUAACUACUGGCUACUUGAUAGUAUCAGAAGAGGAAGGGACGGCUAACUCUGUGCCAGCAGCCGCGGUAAUACAGAGGUCCCAAGCGUUGUUCGGAUUCAUUGGGCGUAAAGGGUGCGUAGGUGGCGCCGUCAGUGGGGUGUGAAAUUUCGGAGCUUAACUCCGAAACUGCAUUCCAUACUGCGGUGCUUGAGGACUGGAGAGGAGACUGGAAUUCAUGGUGUAGCAGUGAAAUGCGUAGAGAUCAUGAGGAAGACCAGUGACGAAGGCGGGUCUCUGGACAGUUCCUGACACUGAGGCACGAAGGCUAGGGGAGCGAACGGGAUUAGAUACCCGCGUAGU
RNAcentral lists this ribosomal RNA (455 nucleotides) under uncultured organism. RNAcentral describes it as "bacterial SSU rRNA". It matches the Rfam family "Bacterial small subunit ribosomal RNA", at positions 346 to 794 of the family's 1533-position model. The record is from RNAcentral.